UACGUAGGGUGCGAGCGUUGUCCGGAAUUAUUGGGCGUAAAGAGCUUGUAGGCGGUUUGUCGCGUCUGCUGUGAAAAUCCGGGGCUCAACCCCGGACUUGCAGUGGGUACGGGCAGACUAGAGUGUGGUAGGGGAGACUGGAAUUUCUGGUGUAGCGGUGAAAUGCGCAGAUAUCAGGAGGGAACACCGGUGGGCGAAGGCGGGUCUCUGGGCCGAUACUGA
Molecule: ribosomal RNA, 222 nt
Filed under: uncultured bacterium
Lineage: Bacteria
Description: partial 16S ribosomal RNA
Rfam family: Bacterial small subunit ribosomal RNA
Source: RNAcentral